Molecule: ribosomal RNA, 372 nt
Filed under: uncultured organism
Description: bacterial SSU rRNA
Rfam family: Bacterial small subunit ribosomal RNA
Source: RNAcentral
CGGGGGGGGCAAGCGUUGUUCGGAAUUACUGGGCGUAAAGGGCUCGUAGGCGGCCAACUAAGUCAGACGUGAAAUCCCUCGGCUUAACCGGGGAACUGCGUCUGAUACUGGAUGGCUUGAGAUUGGGAGAGGGAUGCGGAAUUCCAGGUGUAGCGGUGAAAUGCGUAGAUAUCUGGAGGAACACCGGUGGCGAAGGCGGCAUCCUGGACCAACACUGACGCUGAGGAGCGAAAGCCAGGGGAGCAAACGGGAUUAGAUACCCCGGUAGUCCUGGCCCUAAACGAUGAAUGCUUGGUGUGACGGGUAUCGAUCCCUGUCGUGCCGAAGCUAACGCAAUAAGCAUUCCGCCUGGGGAGUACGGUCGCAAGGCUG